GCCAGCAGCAUAUCACCCUGCAACUCACACCUGGCAACCCACUGAAGCUAAGCAGGUGUGAGCCUGGUCAGUACCUGGAUGGGAGACCUCCUGGGAAAAACUAAGGUUGCUGCUGAAG
Ribosomal RNA from Lepisosteus oculatus (spotted gar), 118 nucleotides. Lineage: Eukaryota; Metazoa; Chordata; Actinopteri; Semionotiformes; Lepisosteidae. The record is from Ensembl.